CCAACACUGAUGCUGUGGGUGGAGGCACACGCCUAUAAUCCCCAAACUCGGGAGGCUGAAGCAAGAUUGCUGCAAGUUCAAGGCCAACCUGAACUAUACAGUGAGUGUAAAAAACAAAACAGAAAGUGAAUUCCAAUACUGGGGAAAGAGAUGAAACAAGGUAGGCUGGGGCUGUACAGUAUACCCUUGGAGGGAUCUCAAUCCCAUCCCCAGGGCACUGGGGAGCCAUGGGAGGAUUCUUGUUCAGGAACAUGUGAUCAUCAAAUGGCUGUGCUGUGCCCAGACCAGAGGCCAGAGAGGAGGAGCACAGAGCCAGCAGUGCCAUCUCCAGCACGAUCAGCAGCAGGAGGGCGAGGCCAUCCCUGUCCAUGGGGGAGAGAAUGGAGACACACAGGAGAAGCUAGCACUUCCUGUCCAGCUGGCCCUGAACUCGCUAUGCAGCCCACGCUGGCCUCAAACUCGUGGGCAUCCUCCUGCCUCAGCCUCCCCGGUGCAGGGAGUACAGCAGCGCCCCUCUUCCUUGGAGGUUCGGGUGCCCAGGCAGGGCCCGAGGAGACAGCUGAGCGACCCUUUGGGAGAGGCGCUCGCCCCUGAGGACCACGUGACCCUGUCUACUCCUCAAACAUGCAGCCGUCUGCUUUUCAGUUUGGAUGAAGCGGAGUUGUAGGGUUCACGGUGACAACCCCAGUUGACCCUCUAAGGCCAGAGAGCAAGGAUGGGGUUAGGGGACCCCAGAAGAGGGCGGGCACUGGAGCCGGAAGCUGCUUUUGAGACAAGGUCUCGCUAUGUAGCCCAGGUUAACCUUGAAUUCACUGGGCAGCCCAGGCUCACCUGGAAUGGUGAUCCACCUGCCUCAGCCUCCCGAGUGCUGGGAUCACAGGCGCGCACCACCACACCUGGCCUCUUUCAGUCUUCAAGCACUGCACAGACCCGACCCUGAGCAAAGUCGGCAGGUGGCCCCGCUCGCCCGAAGAAGUUCGGGAUAAUCUCUGCUAGGCAAAAGGGAUGAGAAACGGAGUUUCCGGCCCAGCCCUGGGACUCUGGCGGAAGACUCGGAGUCUCCAAGCUCGCCCCCUCCGGCUAUCCCACCCGGCACCGAGACCACUCCACCCAGAG
Molecule: long non-coding RNA, 1116 nt
Filed under: Heterocephalus glaber (naked mole-rat)
Lineage: Eukaryota; Metazoa; Chordata; Mammalia; Rodentia; Bathyergidae
Description: lncRNA (ENSHGLG00100036323.1)
Source: RNAcentral